GGCGGACGUAGCCAAGUGGAUAA
RNAcentral lists this transfer RNA (23 nucleotides) under Frullania arecea. RNAcentral's name for it is "partial tRNA-His". The record is from RNAcentral. Lineage: Eukaryota; Viridiplantae; Streptophyta; Jungermanniopsida; Porellales; Frullaniaceae.